RNAcentral lists this ribosomal RNA (253 nucleotides) under uncultured bacterium. Its description in RNAcentral is "partial 16S ribosomal RNA". It matches the Rfam family "Bacterial small subunit ribosomal RNA", at positions 524 to 776 of the family's 1533-position model. The record is from RNAcentral.
UACGGGGGGGGCAAGCGUUGUUCGGAAUUACUGGGCGUAAAGGGUUUGUAGGCGGCUUGUUAAGUCAGACGUGAAAUCCCUCAGCUUAACUGGGGAACUGCGUCUGAUACUGGCGAGCUUGAGUGCAGGAGAGGAACGCGGAAUUCCAGGUGUAGCGGUGAAAUGCGUAGAUAUCUGGAGGAACACCGAUGGCGAAGGCAGGUCUCUGGGCUGAAACUGACGCUCAUGCACGAAAGCGUGGGGAGCAAACAGG